UUGCACUGGUUCGGAACCUGCUUCACUCUCAGUAUGAAUUUUGGUUUAACUCCAUUGCUAUAUGAAACUCAUUCCAGUGAGGCAGGGGAGCGGUAUCCUUUUUGUGCUGUCUCCCUGUUCACUCUCUGGGAACAUCA
Small nucleolar RNA from Hucho hucho (huchen), 137 nucleotides. The record is from Ensembl. NCBI's taxonomy places the organism in Eukaryota, Metazoa, Chordata, Actinopteri, Salmoniformes, Salmonidae.